Molecule: ribosomal RNA, 372 nt
Filed under: Panthera onca (jaguar)
Lineage: Eukaryota; Metazoa; Chordata; Mammalia; Carnivora; Felidae
Description: partial large subunit ribosomal RNA
Rfam family: Bacterial large subunit ribosomal RNA
Source: RNAcentral
GUAUGAAUGGCCACACGAGGGCUUUACUGUCUCUUACUUCCAAUCCGUGAAAUUGACCUUCCCGUGAAGAGGCGGGAAUAUGACAAUAAGACGAGAAGACCCUAUGGAGCUUUAAUUAACCGACCCAAAGAGAUCUUGAUAAUCAACCGACAGGGAUAACAUACCUCUACCAUGGGCCGACAAUUUAGGUUGGGGUGACCUCGGAGAAUAAAACAACCUCCGAGUGAUUUAAAUCUAGACUAACUAGUCGAAAGUACUACAUCACUUAUUGAUCCAAAAACUUGAUCAACGGAACAAGUUACCCUAGGGAUAACAGCGCAAUCCUAUUUUAGAGUCCAUAUCGACAAUAGGGUUUACGACCUCCAUGUUGGA